ACUAACUACAUGUAGUGAGUUCUGCUAUCAGUGGGAGGCACUGUUGUCAAACAGUGCUUCAUCUUACACAAGUUUAAACCAGUGAUUCCCAACCAAUUGGCCAAACACAAGAGGUCAUUGGGUGUACCAUGGGAAAUGAUCCAGUUUCACUUACCGGUAAUUAAUCCCGCUGGGAUUGUCUUCCUUCAACGCCUGCAAACUGAAUUUGUAAAAUUGUGAGUAAAGUGAGAAGUGACCAUUAUUUGAACAUACAUCUUUCUUUGUAACAUUUUUGUUCGGGGUGUGCUGUCGUGCUGUAAGUUGUUUUGUUUUGGGGGUGGGGGGGUUCCUCUCAUUUAAAAUAUGUGCUCAAUGGGGGUUGGGAAACACUAGUCUAAAUUACAGGUCCCACAAUAAAAUCACAUUCAUUUAUAAAUUCACACCGUUCAUGUCAGUCCUGAGUGUUUUAUACAGAAAUCCUUGGUUCUGUUGAGUGUAACUUAUCUGCCAGUGAGAUUCAGUUCUUUCAUUAAAGUGCCUGUUAGAGAGGCUGCUAUUCUCUUAGUGAAUGUGGAAAAAGUCGUAUUCACAUUGUUGUCAUCACAAUAUGAAAAUUGUGACAAUUGAAGAAAGAAAUGUGACAUUUUAUAUAAAGUACUGUAUUUUCAGUACUGUACAAAAGUCUUAGGACACCAAAAGAUUUAUCAUAACAGUAAUUAUUAGGGCUAGGAAAAAGUAUCGUUUUGCAAUAUAUCGCGAUACUUUUUAAAAUGCUAUUUAUUUAUUUAGCUAUCUAUUUAUCUAUUUAUUUAUUUAUUUAUUGCUGAACCCAGGGAUUGAUACUUUAAGUGAGUGUUGAUACUUUAAGGUACCUUAUUUGGGGUUUUUUCCUGGGUUUGAAAUGUCCUACUGUGUUUGAACACACCUUGUUUCUCAAGCCAAUUGCAAGAGACAUCAUAGUUUAUUCCCCUUAUGAGCCUGUCUGUUUGAACAACAACGGUUGAGUGUACAGUAUUGCAAACUAUAAGACAAACAUUGGGUGACAAGCAUCUAUCUGCCUGUCACAUAGAAUGAGUAAUCAGCCCACUGUUGCGGCUUUUAUUCAGGUGUGUUCCAGAAAUUAUGAUAAUCCCGUUGAGAAUAUACAGUCUUCUGGUAGUUAUUGUUAGUAUAGCGCAGUUUAAAUAUAUAAGGACCAGCAGAGGUUUACAGGGACCUUUCACUUAUUAUCAAACAAUAAAUUGGUCCGGUUUGAGUUUCCAGCUAUUUAUUGAAUAUUUACUAGCCCCGGCAUUCCUCUGGAAUAUUUUGAAAACUGUAUAAUAUCAUUGAAUGGUUGAAGCAUUUUUCAUCCACUGCACAUGGAGCUACUGGGCCGUUUUGCAAAGGGGCCAUUAGAGAAACUUAAAUGGUAUUAUUUUGAUCAACUGCUGUGUGUGUGUGUCUGUGUGUGUGUGUGUCUGUGUGUGCGUGUGUGUGUGUGUGUGUGUGCGUAAUUAUAACUGCAACUGCAACCACUCAUCAAUUUAAAUCAGUUUCACAAACAUGACUCUGGAAAUAUUUUGCUUUAAGUAUAUAAACAGUAAUGAAUAACCUUUGAGUAUUUAUGUACCGCCGCAGUUUUUUAAAAAAAAUUAAAUUCAAUGGAUUUUGCUUAGUAUGGCAGUAAGACACUGAAGAAAAUGCUUACUAUUAAGGACUCUAGGGGAAUUGGGAUGACCAGUUCAAAAUGAUGGUCAACAAGGUUGACGUGACCGAAGUCACCCUGACUUCAACAACACUCAUGUUGAGAAAUGCAUACCGUGCCCACACACAGGCUAUGAAGCCGGGUGUAAUACUGUAUUUGCAAAAGCCUGUGACCCAGUAAAAGUUUUUUUUCCAUAGUUCCUGCUCGCCCGCAAAGUUACAUCUCUGUUAUCGUACUUCUGCCGUGUGUUUAGCCUGCAGCAGAUUUUCAAGGAGGCCUCCAGAUGUUAAACAGCUGCAUGAGUCGUGAGUGAAGCCAGUGAUGCUAACAAGAAUUGAUAAGGGCAGCCCUCACGUCACAUUAUAUCUUACGGAAGAGUGAGCAGGUAUCAGGUUCCUCUUGGUAUUUAGCGGAAGAGUCAAGAAACCGCAGCACCAGUCGCACCGACCUCGUCUUCCGGAACACUCAUUCCUUGAGAUGCGUUGCUGAUCUAUGAAUCUUAACCCCUUCCAUUCUGAUUUUUGGAAUCCAACUUACUCUCCAAAUUCUUCUUUCAUAUAAUAUAAUGAGGAUAAAGAAACAAGAGUGACAUGUAGAUUAGCUAAAUUCCUCUAAAAGAAGUCCAGCAGGAUUAUGACCAGGAAGAAACAAUAGUAUCUAUAGUACCUUUACAGUUGUCUGAGUAUUAGUGGAAAAACUUUUCAUUAUGUUUGAAUUUAUUAUAUUGGAAGUUCAGUGGACUUGCAGUCUUGCACCCGCGGAAUUGCAUAUUCAUGGGUUUUUGUUUUUUCCAAAAUUAAAAAAUAUAUAUUUUUGAUGUAUUUUUUAAAAUGUAUUUGCUGUUUUUGUGUCCAGGCAACAGCACUGUUUUGAGUGGCAUGUUGGUGUAAAGCAGUGCUUCUCAAUUGUUUUCUGUCAUGACCCCCUCCCAAAUAAGCAGCUAAAUUGAUUUUUAAACACCAAAUUUCAUAUUACUUGAAGAAACAACUUGUCCUUCACCACAUUAUGUGUGAUAUAGUUCUCCCUCUUCACUUGGAUUUCUAUAGCUUAAGAAAAGGAAAAAAUGUGCGAAAAUGAGUUAUGGGUGCAUUUGUAUUCAUUCCAAUGACUAAAGUUGUUUUCUUUUUUUUCCCCCCGGUAAACUAUUUAGGACAAUAGAAGACAAAAAUAUGAAAAAUAAGAUAACACAUUCAACUAAUUAGCACAUGUAGCGCAGUAUGCAAGUGCACUGCCUUGCAGAUAUAUUUCUUUCACCUAUAGCACACAGUAUGUGUUUUAUGCUGCUGAGGACCAUGUUAUUUUGCCAUUUUUUUUAAAGGAAAGUCUCUCAGCUUCAGAGAUGUCUUCUUGUUCUAAAGAUGAUUCAUCAUACUCUGGGUUAUAUUCCUCCCCAUCUUCUUCUGUUAAAUCCUCUACUUCCUCUUCUGAAUCAGUUUUCUUGCUGGACAGCAGAAAAAAUCAGCUCUAGAGCCUUUUCAAUGUCAUAACGCACACUCAUGGCGUCAGCACAGAGAGAAUUCGGAGUCUUGUCAUCUGUGGCACCUUUAUAACCCCGUGAAAUCCACAAAAAAGAGUUCUGCCAUCUACGAGAACGCCACCCAUCUUGUCUUGUUUAUGUCUGCUACUGUCUUGUUCACGUGUUCUACUAAUUUGAUCUGAGACACAACUAAAACAUUGAAAAAUUCAAUGGUGUAUAAAUAACUUUGUGACCUUGAUUUCAACACUUUUUGCCUCAUGGGUCAUUUUGACCCGAAGACCACCUUUGUACUUUUUUUUGGUACAGCUUCCUUGGAAAUGUGAAUAAAAACAACACUUCAAUUUUUCUGCAGUUGGGGCCAAUCUAGGAAAAGUCAUAAAAUUUCAAGUUAAAAAUAUAAUUUAGGGGGAUUUGGGGGCGUUUUUAACACAGUGACGGGUCAUUUUGACCCGAGGACAACAGCAGGGUUAAAUCAAAGAUGAUGUCUGGAUUAAUGGCUACAAGUAGCAGUCACAAAGCGGGAUGGUUGUUGGCAAUAUUCGGCACGUUUUCGCUGAAAAAAACUCAAGCCGCUUAUCAGCGUGAUUGGGGUGUACUGUAAUGUCUUUAAUUGCAAAACCUUUUCAGGUUUUGCUGUCAAUGACACACAGAUUUUUGGUCUUCGUGGCAGGACUCAGUCCCUAUUCCCAGCACAUAGAAGGGGUUCACUGUAUUUUCUCAUCUCAGAAUUUUUAUUCAACUUGAAAUGCC
This is a long non-coding RNA of Hippocampus zosterae (dwarf seahorse), 3893 nucleotides long. RefSeq lists it as uncharacterized. The transcript has 2 exons. NCBI's taxonomy places the organism in Eukaryota, Metazoa, Chordata, Actinopteri, Syngnathiformes, Syngnathidae. The record is from RefSeq and is a predicted model, not a curated record.